Molecule: ribosomal RNA, 3179 nt
Rfam family: Bacterial large subunit ribosomal RNA
Source: Rfam
GGUCAAGUGAAUAAGCGCAUACGGUGGAUGCCUAGGCGAUAAGAGGCGACGAAGGACGUAGUAGCAUGCGAUAAGCCGCGGGGAGUUUGCAAACUAACUUUGAUCCGCGGAUUUCCGAAUGGGGCAACCCAGUCAGGACAACCUGAUUAUCCUUAAGUGAAUACAUAGCUUAAGGAGGCGAACCCGGGGAACUGAAACAUCUAAGUACCCGGAGGAAAAGAAAUCAACCGAGAUUCCCUUAGUAGCGGCGAGCGAACGGGGACCAGCCCUUAAGUCCAGCCCCAGUUAGUGGAAUGCCCUGGAAAGAGCAGCCAUAGAUGGUGAUAGCCCAGUACAUGAAAACUGGAGCUGGAUGAAAACGAGUAGGACGGGGCACGUGAAACCUUGUCUGAACAUGGGGGGACCAUCCUCCAAGGCUAAAUACUCCUUAUCGACCGAUAGUGAACCAGUACCGUGAGGGAAAGGCGAAAAGAACCGAGGAGAUCGGAGUGAAAUAGAACCUGAAACCGUAUGCGUACAAGCAGUAGGAGUCCCGCCCCUAAAUUACUUUAGGAAAAAAAUGCAUUACUUUUAUGUCUUACAAGCAAUUGAAGAUAAAGAAAAGUUUUACUUUGGCUGUACGAGUAACCUGAAAGAGCGAAUCAGCUCGCAUAAUGCAGGUAAAAAUAUAGCAACUAGAAGCAAUCAGUGGCGAGUGGUUUAUUACGAAGCGUCUUUAACAUUAAGUGGAGCGAGACAGCGAGAAUAUCGUAUCAAGCAUCACGGCAGUGCAAAGCGUAAAUUAAUGGACCGAAUCAAACCCACCUUAGAGUAAUUUAGGGGCGGGAUGACUGCGUACCUUUUGUAUAAUGGGUCAGCGACUUAAUCUCAGUGGCAAGCUUAACCGAAUAGGGGAGGCGUAGCGAAAGCGAGUCUGAAUAGGGCGUCAUAGUCGCUGGGAUUAGACCCGAAACCGGGCGAUCUAUCCAUGACCAGGUUGAAGGUUGGGUAAUACCAACUGGAGGACCGAACCGGGAUCCGUUGAAAAGGAUUCGGAUGAGUUGUGGAUCGGAGUGAAAGGCUAAUCAAGCCCGGAGAUAGCUGGUUCUCCUCGAAAGCUAUUUAGGUAGCGCCUCGUGUAUCACUGUUGGGGGUAGAGCACUGUUUCGGCUAGGGGGUCAUCUCGACUUACCAACCCGAUGCAAACUCCGAAUACCAACAAGUGCGAGCACGGGAGACACACGGCGGGUGAUAAGGUCCGUCGUGAAAAGGGAAACAGCCCAGACCGUCAGCUAAGGUCCCCAAAUCUAUGCUCAGUGGGAAACGAUGUGAGAAGGCCCAGACAGCCAGGAGGUUGGCUUAGAAGCAGCCAUCCUUUAAAGAAAGCGUAAUAGCUCACUGGUCGAGUCGGCUUGCGCGGAAGAUUCACCGGGGCUAAGCAUAGUACCGAAGCUACGGAUCAUACUUUAGAGUAUGGUGGUAGAGGAGCGUUCUGUACGCCUGCGAAGGUCGAUUGAGAAGUCGGCUGGAGGUAUCAGAAGUGCGAAUGCUGACAUGAGUAACGAUAAUGGGGGUGAAAAACCCCCACGCCGAAAACCCAAGGUUUCCUGCGCAACGCUAAUCGACGCAGGGUUAGUCGGCACCUAAGGCGAGGCCGAAAGGCGUAGUCGAUGGAAAACAGGUUAAUAUUCCUGUACCGGAGGUAACUGCGAUGGGGUGACGGAGAAGGCUAGGUCAGCUGUCUGUUGGAAUAGGCAGUUUAAGCGAGUAGGGAGUGGAAUUAGGCAAAUCCGGUUCCAUAAUUCUGAGACGUGAUGACGAGUAUCCCCUAGGGGAGACGAAGUGAUUGAUGCCCUGCUUCCAAGAAAAACCUCUAAGCAUCAGGUUAUCUGCGGCCGUACCCUAAACCGACACAGGUGGGUGGGAUGAGAAUUCUAAGGCGCUUGAGAGAACUCGGGUGAAGGAACUAGGCAAAAUGGUACCGUAACUUCGGGAGAAGGUACGCCCUUGGUAGGUGAAGUCCCUUGCGGAUGGAGCUGAAGAGGGUAGCAUUAAACUGGUGGCUGCGACUGUUUAGCAAAAACAUAGCACUCUGCAAACUCGAAAGAGGAAGUGUAGGGUGUGACGCCUGCCCGGUGCCGGAAGGUUAAUUGAUGGGGUUAUCUUCGGAGAAGCUCUUGAUCGAAGCCCCGGUAAACGGCGGCCGUAACUAUAACGGUCCUAAGGUAGCGAAAUUCCUUGUCGGGUAAGUUCCGACCUGCACGAAUGGCGUAACGAUGGCCACACUGUCUCCACCCGAGACUCAGUGAAAUUGAAAUCGCUGUGAAGAUGCAGUGUACCCGCGGCUAGACGGAAAGACCCCGUGAACCUUUACUAUAGCUUGACACUGGACUUUGAACCUAUUUGUGUAGGAUAGGUGGGAGGCUGUGAAGCAUCAACGCCAGUUGGUGUGGAGCCGACCUUGAAAUACCACCCUGGUAUGUUUGAAGUUCUAACCUAGGUCCCUUAUCGGGAUUGGGGACAGUGUCUGGUGGGUAGUUUGACUGGGGCGGUCUCCUCCCAAAGAGUAACGGAGGAGCACGAAGGUGUGCUCAGCAUGGUCGGAAAUCAUGCGAUGAGUGUAAAGGCAAAAGCACGCUUGACUGCGAGACGGACAAGUCGAGCAGGUACGAAAGUAGGUCUUAGUGAUCCGGUGGUUCUGAAUGGAAGGGCCAUCGCUCAACGGAUAAAAGGUACUCCGGGGAUAACAGGCUGAUACCGCCCAAGAGUUCAUAUCGACGGCGGUGUUUGGCACCUCGAUGUCGGCUCAUCACAUCCUAGGGCUGAAGCAGGUCCUAAGGGUAUGGCUGUUCGCCAUUUAAAGUGGUACGCGAGCUGGGUUCAGAACGUCGUGAGACAGUUCGGUCCCUAUCUGCCGUGGGCGUUUGAGAUUUGAGGGAAGCUGCUCCUAGUACGAGAGGACCGGAGUGGACGAACCUCUGGUGUUCCGGUUGUCAUGCCAAUGGCAUUGCCGGGUAGCUAUGUUCGGACGGGAUAACCGCUGAAAGCAUCUAAGCGGGAAGCCUCUCCCAAGAUGAGAUCUCACUGGGACCGUGAGUCCCCUGAAGGGCCCUGAGAGACGAUCAGGUUGAUAGGUCAGGUGUGGAAGUGCAGUAAUGUAUGAAGCUAACUGAUACUAAUUGCCCGUGAGGCUUGACCAU